Long non-coding RNA from Mauremys reevesii (Reeves's turtle), 1413 nucleotides. RefSeq lists it as uncharacterized. Lineage: Eukaryota; Metazoa; Chordata; Testudines; Geoemydidae. The transcript is spliced from 5 exons. The record is from RefSeq and is a predicted model, not a curated record.
GCCUAGCAACAGAAGGGGCUGGAAGGAGGGAGUCUUCAGUUGCUUUUUAGAAGAAGGAAAGUGUAUUGGGAACUAGAUGCCAGUAGUUUAUGUUUAUGCUUUGGGAGAAGGAUGUGUGGCUUGGUAAGCCCAGAGAAAGGGGAGAGGCAGGUGAGGCCCAGAGGGAAAGCAACAAGAUAUGGAGUAGGUCAAACUUCCUCUGCUAAUGAGAGGGCCCGUGAGCCAGGCCCUGGAAGAGAGGGUGGCCCUAGGUUCUUCUACUAGCUACUGAGGAAGUGGUACCAGCUGGGUAGUCAGUGGUAAGACUGCCUGAGACCAUCUCUCAUGAGAGAGUUUGCAAACCCAGAUGGGGAAACAAAUGGUGACUCUGCCAGGAGGCAGAAUCAUGAAGAAGAGACUGGGGUUCCUGGAGUGGAAAGGUCCCUUGAGUGACAAAUGAGGAAAGAGACACUGCUAUAGGAGGACACAAUAUCUGGCCACAGCUAAUACCUGGGAUAGUGUGGAGGAGGCACCACUAGUGGUGAGGUUACCCCUUGAGAUGCUGUCAGUCCCUUAGGGCACCAUUUUGCAGUCCCCUCACUAAACCCACCCCUCCAAUGAUUUUCCAACUAAAUUAUUACGUUACACCCUGCUGAUUGAUUGCCAAUGGUGACCAGCAGGGCAACUGGUUUAGCAACUGCAAGAGUUUCCCUUUGGGUGCCUCUGGAUGCCAACCAUUUGCAAUGAUGCAGAAGCAGCUUCUUCAAAACAAGGCCGGUGUGGCUCGCCUCCAAAGUUCAGUUUUGCUGAGGUGCCCAGGGGAGUGAGGAGUAGCUAUCCUGUUGGAUUCCAUCUGAGCUACUCCUGUCGCCCGGGAUACACUUUGGACCCUCAAAAGUCUCCUGUAGGUACAUGUGGUGCAGAUUCAACAUGGUCAAUAGACCCUGAGUUUUGUGUAGUUACAAAAUAAUUGGACCGACUUCUGCCCAAUGUGUGAUUGCAGGAAAUGGAGUUGAUUGGGAUAAGGAGGUUCCACUUUGCCAAGGUUUCUGCAGGUAAACCAGGAGCAUAUCUGCCUGUCUUCACAGGAGACCAGAUCUGAGUGUCUGUCAGCUCUAAGCACAGCCGGAACUCUGGAGAAAUGACAUAAUGUCCACAAAUGAUAAGCAACAAGACAGGGCAGUUCCAACAUCUCAUGCUGCCUAAUGGGACCUCUCUUGUCAAAGACUGUACUUAUGUGCAUGCAUGCUCUCUCUCCCCCUCCCCUCCCAACCCCAUAUCCCCACAAUUGCCUGUGACAGAACUGCCAUUGCAGGUGGUCAUUAAUUCAGCAGGUGUAGUUUGAUACUUUAUCUAGCCUUUUCUUAACUCAAGUAAAGACUAAAGCUUGCCUACCAGGUUCUAUCAAAACUGAUGCCCCAAGGAAUCAGACCC